Molecule: ribosomal RNA, 507 nt
Filed under: uncultured bacterium
Lineage: Bacteria
Description: partial 16S ribosomal RNA
Source: RNAcentral
GGAGUUAGCCGGUGCUUCUUCUGUGAGUGAUGUCCUUCCUGCCGGCUAUUAACCCGCAGGCCUUCUUCCUCACUGAAAGUGCUUUACAACCCGAAGGCCUUCUUCACACACGCGGCAUGGCUGGAUCAGGGUUGCCCCCAUUGUCCAAUAUUCCCCACUGCUGCCUCCCGUAGGAGUCUGGGCCGUGUCUCAGUCCCAGUGUGGCUGAUCAUCAUCUCAGACCAGCUACGGAUCGUCGCCUUGGUGAGCCGUUACCUCACCAACCAGCUAAUCCGACAUAGGCUCAUCCGAUAGCGCGAGGCCCGAAGGUCCCCCGCUUUCCCCCGUAGGGCGUAUGCGGUAUUAGCCUGGGUUUCCCCAGGUUAUCCCCCACUACCGGGCAGAUUCCUAUGCAUUACUCACCCGUCCGCCGCUCGCCACCAGGGAGCAAGCUCCCCGUGCUGCCGCUCGACUUGCAUGUGUUAGGCCUGCCGCCAGCGUUCAAUCUGAGCCAGGAUCAAACUCUGA